GAUGAAGAACCGCAGCGAAAUGCGAUACUUGGUGUGAAUUGCAGAAUCCCGUGAACCAUCGAGUCUUUGAACGCAAGUUGCGCCCGAAGCCAUUAGGCCGAGGGCACGCCUGCCUGGGCGUCACACGUCGUUGCCCCCCCAUCUACUCCUUCGGGAUUGCGGGGGGCGGAUGAUGGCCUCCCGUGCGCCUCGUCGCGCGGUUGGCAUAAAUGCCAAGUCCUCGGCGACGCACGCCACGACAAUCGGUGGUUGCGAAACCUCGGUUGCCCGUCGUGUGCGGUCGUCGCGCAUCGAGGGCUCGAAAAAAUUGCCGGGCUCCGGCUCGGCUUUCAACGCGACCCCAGGUCAGGCGGGGUUACCCGCUGAAUUUAAGCAUAUCAAUAAGCGGAGGA
Molecule: unclassified non-coding RNA, 392 nt
Filed under: soil metagenome
Description: partial contains 5.8S ribosomal RNA, internal transcribed spacer 2, and large subunit ribosomal RNA
Rfam family: 5.8S ribosomal RNA (bases 1-123)
Source: RNAcentral